CGGAGGGUGCAAGCGUUAUCCGGAUUCACUGGGUUUAAGGGGUGCGUAGGCGGGCAGGUAAGUCAGUGGUGAAAUCUCCGGGCUUAACCCGGAAACUGCCGUUGAUACUAUCUGUCUUGAAUAUCGUGGAGGUAAGCGGAAUAUGUCAUGUAGCGGUGAAAUGCUUAGAUAUGACAUAGAACACCCAUUGCGAAGGCAGCUUACUACACGAUCAUUGACGCUGAGGCACGAAAGCGUGGGGAGCAAACAGGAUUAGAUACCCUGGUAGUCCACGCCCUAAACGAUGGAUACUCGACAUCAGCGAUACACUGUUGGUGUCUGAGCGAAAGCAUUAAGUAUCCCACCUGGGAAGUACGACCGCAAGGUUG
This 368-nucleotide ribosomal RNA is filed under the name uncultured organism. RNAcentral describes it as "bacterial SSU rRNA". It matches the Rfam family "Bacterial small subunit ribosomal RNA", at positions 526 to 896 of the family's 1533-position model. The record is from RNAcentral.